AAAUGCUUGGUAAAUCAUAUUUUACGCGUACAAGCGCCACUGGGGUGUCUAAAAUCAGUACUGUCCGGUCCUGGACACGGAGGUCGGAAAUGACUGACAAGCACCAAGGAGCUGAACUUGUUACAAAAUGCCUCCAAAUAGAGUGCAGCCGAAACCUCCGCCGUCACGUGACCCUAAUGGACUUAACAAACACAUAACCAUUCAAUUCUAUGACGUCCUAGCUGAACAGAAAUCGCCAGAGAGCCUCGACAUCAUCUGGGACUGUUCUGAGAUUUGCUACUCCUGUUGGUCGGGACUUUGCUAUGGUUUGCUCACCGUUUUUACAGGACCCUGUAUCGCCAGCGUCUGGGCAUGUCAGUUCGCCUACACAGCCUUUGCGCAUGUCUGGUGCCUGGGUCCCAUCUUCCUCAACGUGAAGUUCUGUAUGGUGGACUGUUUUCAGCGAGGAAUUCGUAAUGUGUUAAACUGUUGUAUUGUACCAUGGACAAAUGCGUGCGGAGCCUUUUUUCAUCUGUGUCCGGUAAAACGAAAACCAAAGCCACAACCGGAAGUAAAGAAACCUCCGUCACCGGAAAUACUGUUGAUCAUUCCUCCAAAACGAGACGUUUCUAAAACCAUUCAGAGACAACUGGGUCUAUUUUUGCGAUAAAUCGACAUGGCGCGAGGUUUUAAAGUGAUUGUGCGUGGAUUAUUUCAAAUACACGGAAUUUGUUUUCUAAAAAAGAUUAUUUUUCCUGAAUAGAUUAACAACCAAAUUUCUCGUAGUUAUGAAUUUUGAUAAACUCUGUGUGUGGCGCUUUUGUCAACAUCACAUGUUCCAAGUGUGAUAAUGAGACCACUUAUUUGAAAAACACGAUAAUUCUUCAUGCUGUGAGACAUAUAUCAAAAGUGCUAUUUUUCUAAGAAUGAUUUUCUUUUUAUUGCCGACCAAUCAGAACCGAGAUUUAUAUUUACUGCAUUUGUACUGAAACAUUUUCUUUUCUGAACUUCAUUCAGAUGUAGAUGAAACGAUGUUAUGAUUAUUGAUUUUUUAAACAAAAUUACUCAAGAGUUAAAAAUUAUAUGAGUGAGACGGGGAGUGGUAUCCUAUGAUUAGAUUAUGGCGCCAUUAUGAAAAAAAAUAUUAAUAUCGCAUUUUUACUUUUGAAUUACAUUAUUCUUUCCUGCAAAUGCUUGAAGAGCCACAAAUUCUUUGAAAAUAUUAAAGAUGCUUUACUGAUCCAUGUAGUUUUAUUUUAAACGUUUUGAUUGGUCAAUGGUAUACGGCAAUUUGUGCUAUGCAUCUUGGUGUUUUCCUGUAAAUUUAAGUAAACAUAGUUUGCUUUUAAUCGAAAAUAUAAGUUUAUCUCAGCCUCAUUACAUUUGAUAAACCAAUCUAAGUAGACCUUAAAGCAAGACUUGUCCUUGUCGACUGAAGAUUCAGUUGAAGUGAAUUGGUGUCAAUAUAUAAGUGUUUAUACUGUAAUUUACAUAUUUAAGCGGUUAUCUUAUUUUGGCGUUUAAUUUUGGUUGCGCUAAUUGGCGUUUACUGUGUGCUGCGAGCAUUAUUUUAGAGCUUUUCGUGUAGAAAGUCUUGCGCUAAAUAUUCGUUGCGCUAAUUGGCGUUUACUGUGAACUGCGAGCAUUAUUUGAGCAGUUAUUCAUAAUUGCGCUUACCUGUUAAAAUUUAAGUAUCGCGCUAAAAUUCGAGUUCGCCAAAAUAAGUCCGCUUUCAGUAUACAUAUGUUUAAAUUUAACUUUUGUAAAUAUUUUUUUAUUUGUUGGCUCUUUAUUUUCGUGUACAGUUGGAUUUUGAAUUAUGAAAUGAAUUAUUAUACAUUUGGACCUGCACAUACAUGUAUGUAUGUGUUAAUAUUUAUUUAUUGUUGAGAAGGUAGUUAGUUACUUGGUCACAGAUUAACCGCCUACAUAACUCUUCUUCUGUUGAGGAGAAGAAUAGAAACAGAAAUAAACGAUAACAAUAU
This is a long non-coding RNA of Pecten maximus, 1964 nucleotides long. RefSeq lists it as uncharacterized. The transcript has 3 exons. Lineage: Eukaryota; Metazoa; Mollusca; Bivalvia; Pectinida; Pectinidae. The record is from RefSeq and is a predicted model, not a curated record.